GCUGGGCACAGUGGCCUAUGCCUCUGGUCCCAGCUACCUCGGAGGCUUAGGCAAGAGGAUCACUUGAGUCCAAGAGUUCUGGGGUAUAGUGCAAUAUGCUAAUCAGGUGUCUGUACUAAGUUUGGCAUCAAUGUGGUGACCUCCCUGGAGUGGGGGGCCACUAGGUUGCCUAAGGAGGGGUGAACUGGCCCAGGUUGGAAAUGGAGCAGGUCAAAACUCCAGUGCUCCUGUGCUGAUCAGUAGUGGAAUCAUGCCUGUGAAUCGCCACUGCACUCCAGCCUGGGCAAAAUAACAAGACCCCAUCUCAA
Pongo abelii (Sumatran orangutan) is the source of this 308-nucleotide unclassified non-coding RNA. It matches the Rfam family "Metazoan signal recognition particle RNA". From Rfam's summary of the family: The signal recognition particle (SRP) is a universally conserved ribonucleoprotein. It is involved in the co-translational targeting of proteins to membranes. The record is from Ensembl. Lineage: Eukaryota; Metazoa; Chordata; Mammalia; Primates; Hominidae.